AGCAUGCACGGAUCGCACUGCUCUAUCUGCCGCUGCUGAAGGUGCUGUUUGACAAUGUGCAGCGGCUCAAACUCAAGGACCUGACUUCCCUCAGCCUGACCUUCUCUAACGCCCAGAGUGCUCGAGAUGAGCUGCCCUUCAAUAUCUCGUCAACAAUCAACGGGUCCGCUGCCCGCAGAUCGGCCAUCUUCACCGACAAAGAGUUAACAUCCGCAGGUUACGUUACCUCGUUGGGAUUGCUGCUGAAACAUGAUGAUUCCCGCAGCUCCCUGAGCACAGAGACGGGCGCGGGCACACCGGAGAGAGCCG
Amblyraja radiata (thorny skate) is the source of this 309-nucleotide long non-coding RNA. RefSeq lists it as uncharacterized. The record is from RefSeq and is a predicted model, not a curated record. NCBI's taxonomy places the organism in Eukaryota, Metazoa, Chordata, Chondrichthyes, Rajiformes, Rajidae. The transcript has 3 exons.